CCUACGGGCGGCAGCAGUGAGGAAUAUUGGUCAAUGGGAGAGAUCCUGAACCAGCCAAGCCGCGUGAGGGAAGACGGCCCUAUGGGUUGUAAACCUCUUUUGUCGGAGCACAAAACCCGGGACGUUUCCCGGACUGCGUGUAUCCGAACAAAAAGCAUCGGCUAACUCCGUGCCAGCAGCCGCGGUAAUACGGGGGAUGCGAGCGUUAUCCGGAUUUAUUGGGUUUAAGGGGUGCGUAGGCGGUCCGUUAAGUCAGCGGUAAAAUUGCGGGGGUCAACCCCGUCGGGCCGUUAGAACUGGCAAACUUGAGUUGGCGAGAAGUACGCGGAAUGCGCGGUGUAGGGGUGAAAUGCAUAGAUAUCGCGCAGAACUCCGAUUGCGAAGGCAGCGUACCGGCGCCAGACUGACGCUGAGGCACGAAAGCGUGGGGAUCGAACAGGAUUAGAUACCCUGGUAGUC
RNAcentral lists this ribosomal RNA (459 nucleotides) under uncultured bacterium. RNAcentral describes it as "partial 16S ribosomal RNA". It matches the Rfam family "Bacterial small subunit ribosomal RNA", at positions 338 to 795 of the family's 1533-position model. The record is from RNAcentral.